ACGGGAGGCAGCAGUGGGGAAUAUUGCACAAUGGGCGAAAGCCUGAUGCAGCGACGCCGCGUGAGUGAAGAAGUAUUUCGGUAUGUAAAGCUCUAUCAGCAGGGAAGAUAAUAACGGUACCUGACUAAGAAGCCCCGGCUAACUACGUGCCAGCAGCCGCGGUAAUACGUAGGGGGCAAGCGUUAUCCGGAUUUAUUGGGUUUAAAGGGAGCGUAGGCGGCCGGUUAAGUCUGCGGUCAAAUGACAGGGCCCAACCUUGGCAUGCCGUGGAUACUGUCCGGCUUGAGUGCACACAAGGAAGGUGGAAUUCGUCGUGUAGCGGUGAAAUGCUUAGAUAUGACGAAGAACUCCGAUUGCGAAGGCAGCCUUCUGGGGUGUUACUGACGCUGAGGCUCGAAAGUGCGGGAAUCAAACAGGAUUAGAUACCCUGGUA
This 433-nucleotide ribosomal RNA is filed under the name uncultured Lachnospiraceae bacterium. RNAcentral describes it as "partial 16S ribosomal RNA". It matches the Rfam family "Bacterial small subunit ribosomal RNA", at positions 341 to 792 of the family's 1533-position model. The record is from RNAcentral. Lineage: Bacteria; Bacillati; Bacillota; Clostridia; Lachnospirales; Lachnospiraceae.